GGUGAUCAUAGCUCAGUUGGUAGAGCUCUGGAUUGUGGUUUCAGCGGUCAUGGGUUCGAUUCCCAUUGAUCACCCCCA
RNAcentral lists this transfer RNA (78 nucleotides) under Candidatus Annandia adelgestsuga. RNAcentral's name for it is "tRNA-His". It matches the Rfam family "tRNA". From Rfam's summary of the family: Transfer RNA (tRNA) molecules are approximately 80 nucleotides in length. Their secondary structure includes four short double-helical elements and three loops (D, anti-codon, and T loops). Lineage: Bacteria; Pseudomonadati; Pseudomonadota; Gammaproteobacteria; Enterobacterales; Enterobacteriaceae. The record is from RNAcentral.